RNAcentral lists this unclassified non-coding RNA (347 nucleotides) under soil metagenome. Its description in RNAcentral is "partial contains 5.8S ribosomal RNA, internal transcribed spacer 2, and large subunit ribosomal RNA". The stretch from base 1 to 120 matches the Rfam family "5.8S ribosomal RNA", at positions 35 to 154 of the family's 154-position model. The record is from RNAcentral.
GAUGAAGAACGCAGCGAAAUGCGAUACGUAAUGUGAAUUGCAGAAUUCCGUGAAUCAUCGAAUCUUUGAACGCACAUUGCGCCCGCCAGUAUUCUGGCGGGCAUGCCUGUCUGAGCGUCAUUUCAACCCUCAUGCCCCUAGGGCGUGGUGUUGGGGAUCGGCCAAAGCCCGCGAGGGACGGCCGGCCCCUAAAUCUAGUGGCGGACCCGUCGUGGCCUCCUCUGCGAAGUAGUGAUAUUCCGCAUCGGAGAGCGACGAGCCCCUGCCGUUAAACCCCCAACUUUCCAAGGUUGACCUCAGAUCAGGUAGGAAUACCCGCUGAACUUAAGCAUAUCAAUAGCGGAGGA